Molecule: long non-coding RNA, 4194 nt
Organism: Alligator mississippiensis (American alligator)
Lineage: Eukaryota; Metazoa; Chordata; Crocodylia; Alligatoridae
Exons: 3
Source: RefSeq, a predicted model, not a curated record
CCCAGCAACCAAGCAGAGGGAGUAGUGGGGCAAAGCCCCUGCUCACUUCUCAUGCUGUGAUCUCUAGUAUGAGAAGCAGGACAGGAGCAGCAGGCAGGUGUUCCUCCCCCCAGUCUUCAGGAUGUGUGAAAGCAGCUGCCCACUUCACUGUCUUCAGACCAGGGCGAGCCCAGUCACUGGAAGGCAUGGGAGUCUUUCUCCCAACUCCAAUCCUCCUGGUCCCUAGGCAGAAUUAAGGUAGGGAAAAGCAUGCAGAGACUUAGUCUCCUAGAGAAACUCUCCUGGGAACAAUUUCUACAUGGUUGUUUUCAGAUUACUUUUCUCUUGGAGAUGCUGUUUUUGCUCCAGGAGAAAAAAAAAGCAGGGGGAAAAAAAGCUUGAAUGUCUGCACACUUCUGAUUUCUAUUGAAAGAACUGCUAUUCUCCCAGUAGAUACUGAAUGUAUAUGGCCCUAGUUUACUAGACACAAGAAAGUAGUAAUGCAAAACACUGAGAGAACUCCAUUUAAAAGAUUAUGUGAGGUCCUUUGCCACUGAUGUAAAAAAAGAAAAAUUGAGUUAAGCUAUAACAACUUUAAAGAAGGGCCACUAAGAUGGUUGAGGGACUGGAGACCUUUUUUUUUAAUGAAAAUUGAUUAGAAACACUUGGCUUAUUUAGUACAUGAAUGGGGCAAAUAGGAAGGUGAAGAGAUGUUUUAGGAUCAGAAACAACAUUAGUACAAUAUCAAAUGGCUGGAAAUAAGAUAUAGAAAACUUAAGAAAUGGGAAGAAGGAAAUUUUGGAACAAUCUCCAAACCAAGUGAUGGGAACAUGAAGCCUGAGUCUGUCUAAGAACUAAAUAAGGCAAUUUGUAGAAGUUAUAAUAAGACAGGGAGUUCUGAAACAGUCCCAUGUCCUAAGGCUUUUGUAGGAACCAGAAAAGAGCCCCACACCCCCUUCCUGAGUACUGCUGGCUUCUGGGUUGUUUUCCACCUUCUGAAGCAUUGGGAUGUUGGUGUAUAGAGGCCAGGUCAGACCCCUGGGCCCAGCUAAUAGCAAUCAAGAGAUCAAGGCAAGUCAUCCUGGAACAAGCACCACCUGCAGCAAGCCCUGAGCACCAUCCUGGUCCCAGCUGGGUUGAGCAAGCAAUCAGGGCAGCUGAAGCCAGAGGCAGCAGGUCCCACACACUCUUGUCCUUAACAGUCAGGCCCACCCUGCAGUUUCCUUAGCCAAGGGAAGUAAAAGGCCUCACUCCUGACCUUCCAUGUGUUUCCUUGCUGAUCUUCUGGUUUUGACCUCAGCUUCUGACUCUGGCUCCCAGCUUCCCUUCACUCAGGGCUGCCUCCUGAGUCUUUUCCAUAGCUUGGGUUUCCAUCCUCAUGCCUCUGAAAGAAGGGUUCCAUCCCUAACAGCUUCCACAGUCAGACUGUCCCUCUGGUUUGAGGCAUCGGCUUGUCUGGAUCAUAUGACUCCUCUACUUCCUCCCUUGGCCAUCAGGUGAGGGGGGAAUCGGCUUGCACUGGGCAAACAGCAACCCUGAAAUGAAACUGACUGAAGGAGUAGACAGACGAUAGAUGUAUACAUCUUCACCCUGCAGUGACUUACACUGAUGUAAGCUGUGCAAUGUGUGCCUGCUCCACUUUCCUUUUUGAAAGUCAUACUGAUUAUUUAUAGUUGAAGAAGAAAAAGAAAAGCUCUUUGUAAUGGUCUCUUUCAUAAUCCUGAAAUAGGUAAUCUGCUUAUUGAGGGAGGUGGGUUCUACCCCAUAUAUCUUCAUGUGCCAUUCAUUUGAAAGGGUGUUCUAAUAAAGGUCCUGCCACGCCUGUAACCUGAUUAAAGCACCCAUUAAUAACAUGAUUAGCUGCCAUCAACAUUACAGAUUUUACCAGAGUUAUAAUUGGGUCAGGGAGAAACUGUGCUGGAACUGAUUCUCCUGGUUCAGUUGUUUUUUAGUAUUAAUGGCCCUUUGGCUACAAGUUCUAAAGAUGCACAUAGACUCUUUGGUUAAAUAAAAUGGUUGUUACUACAUUUGAAAGUGAGAUUUUUAUGUUUAUAGUUUUGUCUGUUAAAUAUGUACCAGUCCAUUUUAGCAGACAUUUAAGACUAGAGGGAACAGGACUGCAGAAUACAUUGUAGAGAACAAUCUUUCACUGUUAAGGGACUGUAUAAAAUUACCUGGAAAGUCUUUUUCCCUCCUGCAAGUCUCUGAUAAAAAUUUAGAGCUGGCAUGAGUAAAGCAAGAACCACAAUAUCUGGUAUUAUGUAGCAAGAAGUGCACUACCUUGGAAGCAGAACUGAAAGAUUGAGGUCAACGUGACUGAAAUGAUUAGAUGAUUAAGUUGGACUGAAUUUAAAUGCUGGAGGCCUUUUUAAUUAUUUUUCAUGCUACAUUAAUGGAGGAUUAAAUGUUGGCUCUGGUACUUGUCCUGUAAAUUAUAAGUUGCUCUCAGUAAACCCACACUAGCUUUUUCUUUGAGUGUGCACAAUAUUUAUGAAAGUGAAGAGAAUGGUAGUAACUGCUUGGUGACAUAUUCCUUGAUGAAAAUGCUCUGAUGUUUUCCCAUAUGACAUCAUUGCUAGGGGAGGGUGACAUGGUUUGAAUUAAAAAUUUUGAAUGCCAGAAAGAAACCUAAACUUGAAAUUUCCAAAUGACUGCUUUGGAUAAACUAGGUCAAAUAUUUCUCACUCAUACUGUGCCACCCACAGCCAAGGAAAACUGGAGUGCAAAAAAAGGCACUUUUCAUACUAUCUUUAGUGUUUCAGAGUAAGAACAAUUCAAGCUAAGAGGCCAUCAAAAUUCCUAUAGGUAGUGUGUUAAGUAUGCCACAUAAUUCUCCCAUAGCAAAAUAUUAUUUAUCUUCACAUCAAGGGAACUGAUUUUGUUUUUUGGUUUUUUUGUUUUUUUUUUAAUGCUCAUCUAUACUUAUUUUGUGCCUUCUAUAGCUUUGGUUAAUUCAUUAAAUUUAUUGGCUUCAUAAAACUGAAAGCAAGUCUAUGUUAAAGAAUAAGGAUCACAUUAAAAACAUAUGCACUAUAUUAUAAAGUAUAGUGUAAGCCCAGAUGUGGCAGCUUUGGUAGAUCACUGUUGACUGAACCUUGAAUAUUUCCACUAAUUGGGAAUGAUCCUAAUUUGGCUUCAUGAAGGAAGGCAAACAAACAUACAAACACCCUUCAGUUGCCUUGAGAGCAGAGGGCUUCUUAAAAUUGACAGGAAGGAAGAGGGAUGAAAAAGCAAGAAUACAACAAAGUAUUUCAGAUUCUCUACCAAUGUUAAACUCUUUGUUCAACUACAACAGCAUGCAGCUGACUGAAAAUGUGACUGUUUAAAUCAUUGGCUGGUUGAGGUUGCAUGUGUGGUAAACCUAACCUCCCUCCUUUUCCUCUCCCUCAACUCCUUUCACAUGCAUUAUGAUGGCCUAUUAGAUACUCAGAUUUGGGAAUGCUGGCAAAGUGUCUGCUUUUUUUUUUUUUUUUUUUUUUGCCACUAAAGUUUUGAAUGUUUCCACUAAACAAAAUAUAUAUUCGAUUACUCUCAAUAGUUGCAACAUAUAUUUUAAACAUACUUGAAUAUAUUAUGUUUUAUGUGGGUUUAUUUUAGAUCUUUAGCAAUACUAAAUGAAUUGCCCUUCCAUAAUAGAUUGGCUAAGCAUGCAAGUAGUAUCUAAAUCAAAACUCAUGGCUACACAGUUUAUAAACUUCUUCCUUUUAUAAUUUACACAGACAUAUUCACUUAACAUGAACUAUCAACAUUAUGUAUGAAUAUGAUUUUGACACAAAUAAGGGGAGGGGGAAUAUUGAAACCACUGAUCUUUUAAAUGUGAGAAUAAGAAAUUAUAAGAAAAUAAAUGCUUUAUGUCUGCAGGGUAAAACUAUAUCUUAUGCUUUAUCAAAACCCCACUUUCUAUAUAUCAGUGCUGUAUUUCUCUUUACAUGUUUUAUUACUCUAAUUCUAGAUGUAUCUUUUUACUUACCUCUUUCCUAUUCAGUUUAAUUAGUUGCUGCAAUAUUUAUGGUGCAGCGUUAUCAAUUCAAUGCUACUAAUUGCAUAAUCUAUAAAAUAUGACAUGUUUUCGAAGCAGUAAAAUUAAGUGAGGUAAAAUGAAUACAUUUGCAUGCAAGUGUGUGAGAGUGAUCCUGAGACACUGUCAGAUGUGUAUCUCAACUGUUUCACAACUGCUACUACAUACUUUCAAAUAAAUUGAUUUGUUUUUCCUUA